GAAUCAUUGGUCAAUGAGGGAAGUCAUAUCCAGACCGCCGCAGCUGUGUAAGAAACGCCUCUUGUUUUAAAGCAUCUUAACCGAGAUAGAGAGGCUACCUAAGACUAAUACUCCUGAUAUGUGAACUUACACUGGCUGGAAAUAAGCACCGCUAACAUCUGCCAGCAGGUCGCGGGUAUCAGAGGGAGUCGAGCGUUAUCGGAAUUUUCUGGGCUUAAGCCUGCGUAGCGCCUUUUUAAUUGGAUGUGAAAUCCUGAGCUUACUAGGAAAUUGCAUUCGAUACUGGAAGCUAGAGUAUUGGAAGAGGAUGGUAGAAUUCUCAGGUGUAGCGGUGAAAUGCGUAGAGAUUCUGGAAGGAAUACCGAUGGCCGAACGCCAGCCAUCUGGCCCAUACUGACGCUGAGGUACGAAAGCAUGGGGGAGCAAACAGGAUUAGAUACCCUGGUAGUCCAUGCCGUAAACGAUGUCUACUAUCCGUUGGGGCCUUUGAGGCUUUAGUGGCGCAGCUAACGCGAUAAGUAGACCGCCUGGGGAGUACGGUCGCAAGACUAAAACUCAAAUGAAUUUGACGGGGGCCCGCACAAGCGGUGGAGCAUGUGGUUUAAUUCGAUGCAACGCGAAGAACCUUACCUGGUCUUGACAUAGUAAGAACUUUCCAGAGAUGGAUUGGUGCCUUCGGGAACUUACAUACAGGUGCUGCAUGGCUGUCGUCAGCUCGUGUCGUGAGAUGUUGGGUUAAGUCCCGCAACGAGCGCAACCCUUUUCCUUAUUUGCCAUCGGGUUAAGCCGGGAACUUUAAGGAUACUGCCAGUGACAAACUGGAGGAAGGCGGGGACGACGUCAAGUCAUCAUGGCCCUUACGACCAGGGCUACACACGUGCUACAAUGGUCGGUACAAAGGGUUGCUACCUAGCGAUAGGAUGCUAAUCUCAAAAAGCCGAUCGUAGUCCGGAUUGGAGUCUGCAACUCGACUCCAUGAAGUCGGAAUCGCUAGUAAUCGCGGAUCAGAAUGCCGCGGUGAAUACGUUCCCGGGCCUUGUACACACCGCCCGUCACACCAUGGGAAUUUGUGCACCAGAAGUAGGUAGUCUAAAAAAAAGGACAAAGAUCCCAUAGGUAAGAUGUUUCCCCACC
RNAcentral lists this ribosomal RNA (1134 nucleotides) under Acinetobacter sp. Its description in RNAcentral is "bacterial SSU rRNA". It matches the Rfam family "Bacterial small subunit ribosomal RNA", at positions 359 to 1476 of the family's 1533-position model. The record is from RNAcentral. Lineage: Bacteria; Pseudomonadati; Pseudomonadota; Gammaproteobacteria; Moraxellales; Moraxellaceae.